Molecule: long non-coding RNA, 15399 nt
Filed under: Homo sapiens (human)
Lineage: Eukaryota; Metazoa; Chordata; Mammalia; Primates; Hominidae
Description: non-protein coding lnc-SERP1-4:6
Source: RNAcentral
GUAGGUUCUUUAAGCAUUGACGAGCUAAAGACCAUUUUAAAUUCUAAGCCUAGGGAAGCUUACAAUGGAACUAAUCAGAUGUUUUUAUGUCGGUUUGUUCCGAGACAGUGGAAGACUGGAGGUCAUGUGCUUGUGUCUAAUGUUUAGCAAAAUCUUAGUGAAACGAGGGCGAUAGGAAUGGGGGCUGGGGAAGACUUAGAUGGGAUAAAAAGAGGUGCGGCUGGAAGAACUAAAUCACUUUAAAACUUCUGAAAAUAAAUGUUGACCAUUGUAGUCAGAGGAGUAAAAUGUUCAGAGAAAUGGGGAUGAUUAAACAAGAACGGCAAGCCAGAUUGAGUCAGAAAAUUAUCUUCCUGCCAGAAAUUCUGUCUCCCACAACGGCAUCAGGGGGUGGUUACUUGCCCAGGGUGUAGUCAGUUUUUAAAAAGCUUAAGGGUUACCAACAUAUUCCUAAAUUUCCUGAAUUUGCUGUGAUUCCAGGAUUCAUUUAAACUCUUGAGACUGUUUUACUUUCGGCACGAAAUCAGCUCAUGGGCUUUAUAAAUGUAGAACCUACUGCAUUAUAGUUCUUCUUUUUGUUUAUUCUAAAACUGUUAGUAGCAGCCAGCGUAUUAUAUGAUUUGGAUUGGGCCAUGAACAACCGUAACGAGUGAUAAAGCACCCUUUCCUGUUCCAAUGCAAAGAACAACUAUGAAAAGAAAGUACUGGCAAAUUUAUCAUCUUGUAGUUAGUUCCUGGCCAAAGAAAAUGGUAAGGCCAUUCUUUUAAGCAGUUAAAAAAAAAUGGGGAUGGGCUCUUAAACUUUGGCAUGCUAAGGCCAUUCUUUUAAGCAGUUUAAAAAAAUGGGGAUGGGCUCCUAAACUUUGACAUACUAAAGCAGUCGUCAUUUAGGUAAAAUCUAAGUCUUAAUGGAAAUCGUGAUUUCAUAUCUACUGCAGCGUUAGCAAUCACAUAAUGAUAACUUAAAUCAGUAAAUCGUUGAACUCGGUUCUCUAAUCUUUGAAGAAUAGAAAUACUUUUUAUCCCAAAAGAUGUUUUGAGAAUUAAAUUUGCAGAGAAUUUUUUAGGUCUUUAGUUGUAAUUUAUAGAGCUAGGUCUUUUAACUUUAGUGGAAACCAUGCCCUCCAAACCCAAGUGACUGGAGUCAGAAUGUGAAAUAAGACGACAUAAAAUCCCUAUUUCUUAAGGGGCUGGGCGAAAGUAAUGGAACAAAAUGUAACGUUAUGCUAUUGUGGCAGAGAUAGCUAAUGGAAUGUUUCAUUUCUAAGUCUGUAAUUUCAGUAAUUGUUAGAGGCAGUUUUCCAUCAAUAAGUUAGAUCAAAUGGUUAAACCCAAUAUGAAUUUAUAAAAGCUUAAUUUAAUUUUGGAUUGAUUUACCAGAUGUUUAAGGUGGUUAUAAUGGGUAGUGUUGAUGGUGGUGCUUUUGGAAAAAUGAGUAUUAUAUGCCUGCUCAUCCCUUUACAUUAUCUUAUCAUAUAAACUUCUUGAUUACUCGUUAUGAUACUCUUAAAUCGUACAUUUAGAGGAAAAAUCUUAAAGUAAUCUGUAAGACCAUUUCUCCUUAAAAUGAUAUAUUAUGAGAUGAAAGGAAAGAUAAAGAUAAUUUAGAAGAGAUCCAGAAGUGGACUAAAUUUCUGGUAAGGAGGGGGCUAAAGAUGUUAAAAGACAUCUUAGGAAAAGCAUAUGAUUUAUAACUUUUAAAAGUGUCAUUUAGAUGGUUAAGGAUUUGUGUUUAAUAGUUCUCUUGAAAAUAUUGUUUUCCAAAAGUUUAAAAGCCCUAGCUACUUUUAUACAUUUGCCCUUAAAAAAUGUACAGAAUUUAUUACAUCAAACUGCUACAAAGAAAUAAGAAUUCUGAUUUUUGCAAGUAAGUUGGAAAUCAACGUAGAGGACAAAAAGUGGCAUAGCUAUAUCUAAACAAAAAAGUAUGUAAUUCAAAAGUUGGUCCACAAAGAAUUGAAAGCCUUUCAAUAACUAAUUUAAAUGAUAGAAAGCAGUAUGUAUAUGCAAGUACAUAUGCUCCCUGUAUAGAGAGUGGUUAGUAAGUAAGAUGGUAGCCUAACUCACUGGAAUAAAGAGAUCCUUGGAGUCCCAAACCUCAAGACUAGGAGUCUUAAUGCAGUUACCAGGCUGCAUGCCUGUACCCAGAGACCAUACUAGAGGCUGUGGGAAUCCUCGAUUACUGCUCUUAGAGCCCCCAACUUGACUGUUUCUUCUGUACCUGGUACUUUUUUCAAAUAUUUCAAAUUGCAGUGAUGCAUGGGAGAUACAUUUAGAAAACAUAAUGCAGGGGAAUAAAAGCAGUUAAAAACUAAGGACAGUUUCUACUGAUGAAAAUAAAAAACUGCUACAGCAACAUCUUUUCAUCAUCUGUAAACAUCAUACCCCCAAAUUUUCCUAAGUUAUUAUCUAACCUCAUCAGUAGCAGAUGGUGAAUUAUUUCAUAGAAAAUCCUGGAAUGUAAACUCUAGAUACUCAAGAAAACCUCUUUUUUUUCAAUGAAGGUAUAUUAUAUUUAAAAUAAUAAUGAUGCAUUAAACAUUAUGGGAUAAAGAAAAUACUUUCCAUAGAAAUUAAGCAAUGGCCUAGGCAAAGAGAAGUAACCCUUUAGCAUUAAUACUAUCAGUUAGACAGUGACAUUUAUUGAACAUUCCCUGUGUUGUGUAUUAAGAAUUGGACUACCUAUAUCCCAGUCAACAAUUUUUUCUGGAGUUUAGAAAUAGUUUAUGCUUAUUUUCUGUGUUUUUUAUUACCAAAUUGUUAUUAGUUUGGUGCAAAAGUAAUUGUGGUUUUUGUCACUUACAUGAUGGCAAAAACUGCAAUUACUUUUGCACCAACCUAAUAGAAAAAUACAAAAUGGAGAAUAGUUUUCAGGUUCCACAAAGCAUUUGCUGGAAAUAAAUAUCAGUUGUCUAAAUAAGUAGUACUUGAUUUAUUACUAUGAUUUUCGUAGGGUUCCAUUUCUGGAACAAUAUCAUAUUAAUAAACCCUUUCAGUGAGACCAUUGUGUGGUAUUGCCCAAAAAGGAAAAAAAAAUGUAAUGAGAAAGGACUAAGGCUAAUAAAAUUCCAUAAAUACUAUUAUAAAGAAAAGUAUAAUUUGACUGAGAUGCACAAAUGCUUACUUGAUAAUGAGGUGUUUUUAAGGAAACUUCUAUUAAAUACUCUUUUUGAGUUUAAUAUACUAUGAAACAAUGUUGUCUUUUUUUUUUUUUUAAUGAAGAUUUCCUUGACUUCCAAAGACCUUUGAUGUUCAAGCAAAAUGUAGCAAUUUGGUAAAAGUAAAGGGUGCAUUUCGAACUGAAAUAAACAUAAUGUCCUAUUAAGACCUGUAUUAUAUUUUAUGGAAUUUAACUUAGAAUGUAAGAUAUUAGCUCUGCGGUUUUACAAGCUUGUUUAAAUUCUGCAAUGUAGGGCAACAGAAAAUCCAAACAAAAUCCAUUAAUGACUAUAUUACUUCUUUAUUUUUCUUUUUAAAUAUUAUAUGUGGCCAGUCAGGAUGAAGUUUUUUUUAAACUACAUUUCCUAGUUGGACAGAUCAAGAGUAAGCUCCAGUUUUGCUAUAAUCUCGUUUUGUGAUUGCUGACAAGUCUAUUACUCCCUCAGUUCCCCUAUCACUAAAAAGAAAUAACAUUGUGGUAAAGAGGUGUUAAACUACCAAAUCCACUGAAAAAGUAUGGAAAAAGGUCACAGAUGUGGCAGCUUUGGCAUCUUCAGAAGAAAAGAUAGCAACUCAAUGUGAUACUAUUGGCAAUACCAUUUGUUAAUUGAAAAAAGAAGAAGAAAGCAGUUACUAGACAUCCAUGAUUUUAUGGAGAAGCCAUAUUCUGUCAUAGAUGAGCUAUUUACAGACAUUCAAUGGCACAUUCUUUGACAAAGUGAAUCAUCACUGUCUAGUCUUUCUUGUAUAUGAAUUUGAAGUAUUGAUUAAAGUUGUAGCAUACCUGUAAUUUUAAACUGUAAAACUCUAACACUCACAAAAGAACAUUGAAAGACUGCAAAUUUCUAGACUUGGAGGUUAUAAUUCCUUCUGUAUGUUACUACUAUCAGCUUAUAAAAUUUUAAAAAAUGUGAGUGUAGAAACUUAUAUAAACUGUAUUCACACAUGAAGGAUAGCCUAAAUGCUCCGGACUGAUAAUCUGAAGGUCAUUCUCACCUGGCUGAUUGAACUACUUUUAUUCAUAGAAGCCAAAGUUUUGAAAGGUACAGAUAGAAUCUUGACUACCUUGCAUUCGCAGUUACGUUUUAAUUGCAAAAUAACAAGCUCUUUAGUCACUGGAAACAAAACACUUUUAGCAUUUAACUUUAUAAUACUUGAAAUCCUACCUUGAAAGCAUUCAUACUCAUUAAAAGCUCAACACAUGAUCCAUGUUUACAUAAGGAUUUGGGUGUUGCUUAAAAUGAUCAUGUAAUGAGCUGCUUCUCUGCAAAUUAAUAUUCACUCCCUUCCCUCAUCCUUAAUGUGGGAUCUUUGAAGGAAAAGGAAGUGACCAAACUAAAGACAUAGGGAAAUGCAAAAUCAAGGUGAAAAGUUACCCAGAGGGUUGUUUUAAUUUUGGCCAUCAACCCCCUAGUGAAUAAUGGUAACAGUAUUGUUUUGAGACCCAUUUUGUGGCAUUUACCUAUUGUUAAACUAAAUUGACUAGAUGUAAAUAUAUUUUCAUCUUCAGAUAUUUAGAAUUUCUAUCCUUCCCCAUUGUUUCUGGAUUUUGAUACUAAUCUUUUUUCUUUGCAUAUUGUAUAUAUUUACUCAACAACUAAUCUAAUUUUAGAUUUUUAGCUUAUCCACAUUUCAUUUUUGUUUAUUUCAUUGGUAUUUCAUCAAUACAAUGGCUCUACCCUUCAAGGAAAAAAAACAUCAGCCCGUCCCACAAAAACACAUAUAUUCAAGAAAGAUAAAUUACAUUGUGAUGAUUCAAUCAUAGUAAGUAUUCACCACUGAAUUUCUUUAAGAAUAACUACUGUGUUCAAAAUAAUUUUUGUACUAAUAUUUCAUUUGAGAUAUUUUAUUUCUGUGGAAUAAAAAGAUUUAUCAUAGUAACAUCAAGCUUGUAUCUUGAACAAACAGCUCCAAAUAUAAUAAUACAAGCUCUACUUCAUGCAUUCAACAUGUAUUUAGAAACCUGGCUGGGCACAGUGGCUUACACCUGUAAUCCCAGCACUUUGGGAGGCCGAGGUGGGCAGAUCACUUGAGGUCAGGAGUUUGAAACCACCCUGGUCAACAUGGUGAAACCCUGUCUCUACUAAAAAUACAAAAAUUAGCUGGGCAUGUUGGCAGGCGCCUGUAAUCUCAGCUACUUGGGGGACUGAGGCACGAAAAUCACUUGAACCUGGGAGGCAGAGAUUGCAGUGAGCCAAGAUCACACCACUGCACUCCAGUCUGGGUGACAGAACAAGACUCUGUAAGAAACCUACUGUGUUGACCUCUUUGUUGGACUUGGGGAAAAUAGUUGUGAACCAGAAAAGAAAAGCAAAGUCCUUGUUCAAAUAGGUCUUAUAUUUUAGUAGGGGAAACAACCACCAAAGAAAUAAGCAAAAAAAUAUAAUUUCAAAUAUUCAUAAGUGUUAAGAAAAAAAUGAAACAAUAAUGCAAGGUGGGAAAGGAGACAGUGUACCUUACUCAGAUGUACUGUAGGUAGGCCUGAGGAAAUGUUCUUUGAGCUAAGGACAAGCUCAUCAGGGGAGCAUUUGAUUAAGGGAGACAGAUGAGGCAAUGGCUUUGUGCUGGAAACCAGUAUGUGGUUGGAAGGGAGCAGGGGGCAUCUGAGUAGUAGGCAAGGGCUAGAUCAUAUGGACAUUGUUGGCCACGUAAAGGCACAGAUAUUUUAUUUUAAAUGCAUUGAGAAGCCACAGGCAGGUUAUAAGCAGAGGAUUAACAUGAUCUGAUUUACAUUUACAAGGAAACCUUUUUAAAAAAUCUUAACCUCUAAUAGUUUAUAAUAUAUUGUGUAUUAUGUUUAGAGAGAUUUAAAAAUAACUUAUAUGAUCAAAGACAAGUUUCUUUUUGUAGGGCUGUACUAUUUGUGUGAUAUCAAAAUGGAAGAAAUAUUUAACAAUCUAUAUGGCAUUUCUUACAGAGACUUAAUAACUUUGUUGCAAAAUGACUAAAUCUUUGUAAGAGAGAAAUCUUUUUCUCCAUGAAACCUUAACUUUAAUUUAAGGGCAGUGAUUUUGAUAUUUAAGAGAAGCUUGAAAUGCCCCACUUAAAAAAAAAACAACUCUGGACAACAGUGAAAAAGAAGUCUUUUUGUUUAAAUGUAAUUAUUAAAUAAGUGUGACAAAAAUAGAGCUAAUUUUAGGGAUGCUCAGGGCUGAGACUGCUUUUCUUCAGUGGAUAAAAAUAUCCAUAGGCAAAUCUAGGGACACUUUAAAUAAUUCAAGUAGUCAUAAAAGGGUCUCAGAGGAGGGGACCUCUUCUGGAAGAGGUAGGUGGAAAGGCCAUGCAUUUUGAUAUUGGUGGAUUGCUUUUCAUUUAGAAACUACUUUGUUUUCCUUAUCCAGUACAAUUGAACAGUAGAUGAUUUCUACUCUGUUUCACGGGCUAUUUCUUUAUUAGCAAGGUUACACUCUUGAGCACCUGUGGGGACAACUGGCCUGGGCACUUUCUUCGUAUCUGCCUUUAUCUUCUCUCAACUCAGGCCUGUAUGUACAAAGGUUAAAUUUGUUCCUACUCAGUUAAAAUCUAAAGGAAGGCCACCAUAGGCCAUUACUUUCUCUAGAGCACGCAAAGGUAAUCUGUUUUCCUAGUUGAACAUGGGAGAAGAAACACCUAGAUGUUUUAUACCAUAGGCUCCAAUGUAAAUGUGAAUAGGUGAUAUAAAUUCCAAGCAAAAAGAAGAAAGUUUGCUUAUCUUAUCCAAUACUUUUGAAAUAUAUUACUAUUUGAUGGCAUUUGGCAUUUUAUAAGAUAUGAUAAAAACUUAAGACUAAAAAAAGAAGGCCAGAUGCGGUGGCUCAUGCCUGUAAUCCCAGCACUUUGGGAGGCUGAGGUAGGCGGAUCACCUGAGGUCAGGAGUUCGAGACCAGCCUGGCCAACAUGGUGAAACCCUGUCUCUGCUAAAAAUACCAAAACUUAGCUGGGCAUGGUGGCGGGCACCUGUAAUCUCAGGUACAUGGCAGGCUGAGGCAGAAGAAUCGCUUGAACUUGGGAGGCAGAGGUUGCAGUGAGACAAGAUUGUGCCAUUGCACUCCAGCCUGGGCAACAAGAGAGAAACUCCAUCUCAAUAAAAAAAAAAGGAUAGCAUGCCAAAGUUAUUGCGUAAAUUCUUUAAAAGGGGUACACAUGUGCUCGUGUUGCAUUUUUGUUAAAUAUCAUCCUAAAACUUAGAUUAUUUUACAACUUAAUUAUAAAGCUUACGAAUCCUGAUCAUAUUGCUUUAAAAUAGCACCUUGUUAUGGGUAGAAAAAUAUUACCCAAACUUUAUAGCCCACCUUAUUAAUGAACUUUGCUUCUAGUUGACUUAUUUUAUUUAUUUAUUUAUUUAUUUAUUUUGGUGACAGAGUUUUGCUCUGUCUCCCAGGCCGGAGUGCAGUGGCGCGAUCUCAGCUCACUGCAACCUCUGCCUUCUGGGUUCAAGGGAUUCUCUUGCCUCAGCCUCCCGAGUAGCUGGGAUUACAGGCACAUGCCACCAUACCUGACUAAUUUUUUGUAUUUUUAGUAGAGACAGGGUUUCACCAUUUCGGCUAGUCUGGUCUCAAACUCCUGACCUUCUAGUUGACUUCUGUUUUCAAAAGUCAAAAUCAUUUUGAAGAUGAACAUUUGUCAUUUGUUGAAAAUUUUUAAAAAUGUUAAAUAUGUUAGAAUAUCAAGUAAAAAAAAUUAAAAUUAUAUCAUGCCUUUUAAAAAUUACAUGUAUGCAUAGUAAAAGAAUUUGGGAGAAAUACAUUGGAACUUUAAUAAUGGCUAUCUCUAAGGGAUGAGGUAAUAGGCUUUUUUUUUUGCUUUAUAUAUUUUUUUCAAAAUUUCUGCAAUGAUCACAAAUCAUUUUUAUUUAAAUAUAUUACUUUUAUAUAUUUAAAAAAUGUACCCACAGACUCCAGACUAAGCCAAAAAUAACUUUGUAAGGGUGUAUUAACAACAGCCAAGAUUAUAGUUUUAGCUGUUGUGAUAGAUGAUAGUUCAUAAAUGCUAUCCAAAGAUAAAUUGUCCCUUGGGAAUAGUAUAUAUUUGAAUGCCCUCAAAGAUAAUAUUAGAAAUAAUUGGUGCCUUUUCAGUUGAAUCAAACUAAUGCAGAGCAACUUUUAAGAGUCAAUUUAUGAAAUACAAGAGGAUUUUAGAACAGAAUUACAAGGACAGAAAGGACAGAAAAAUAAUUAAAAUAUUAGAAGCAAAGUUGAAAGAGAGUGGGACGUCAGGAACUUUUGUUCUGUUACAGUCUCUGCAGCAUUGUGUCUAGUUGUGUGUCCCUGAACAGGUCAUAAUUUCGAUGGGCCUCAGUUUCUUUAACUGUAAAAUAAGAGUUGACUGAACAGAUGACUAUUUUCAGUGCCAAGACUUUAUGAAUCUAAAUUCCCCAAACAAAUUUGGAUUCUUGGUUUUACGUGCAGCAGUCAAUAUAUAAAUGGGUCCAGAAGAUGUCUUUGCUUCAGCUUUGGUAACACUCAAGUGUGCUGGUUAUUGCCUGAUUUCCUCUUCUCUAUCAUUUUCCUGCUCUUCUCUGCACUCUUGCAUUCCAGGAAUGGGAUGUUCUGGCUCUCAUUACCAGGGAUCCCCUUGUCUUCCCUGGGUUUAGCCAAUGAGAACUGCUGGCAGGAGGUCAGAGGGUAGUAGAAAAAAGAAUUUGGGUUAUUUCUUUCCCCCUCCCUUUGAGCUAGCCUGAGAUUCUGGUGGUGAUGGCAUUCCUCUACAACUGCGUACCCUGUCAGAUACCCGCCCAUGGCUCUAACUUUCACUGGGCUGCUUCAGAUCCAGCUGUGGUGAUGGCAUCCCAAUGUACUAGCCCCUGAAUGCCUCAGCAUUCCUUGUUUGGCCUCUUAACUCUGCCCACAUUUCUGUAAUUGUUCUUUACAUUAGUUUGUACUCAAAAUCUCCUUGGAACUGUGCCUUCAGUUUCCUGCUAGGACAAGGUGAAUACAUCCAAGUCAUUUCUAUUUUUCUGAUUCCUACAACUUUGCUCAAAUUCAUUGUUUCCUGUCAUACUCAGAAUAAGAGUCAAGUCUUAACAAUAACCUACAAGAUUUGUGCUGUGCUCACCCUACUCCAGCCACAAUGAUCUCCUUGCUAUUCUUAUAGCCUACCAAUGUACCCUCCUGCCUCAGGACUUUUGCACUUACUAUAGUUUCUCCUUAUUCCCUAAGCUGUUUGCAUGGCUAAUUCCCUUAUCUUCAGGUCUUGGCCCAAAUGUCACCUUUUCAGUGAGGACUUCCCUGACUACACUAUUUAAAACAGCAAGCCUCCACCUCCCAUCCCUCUUUUUGCUUGAUUUUUCUCUAGCACACUUAUAACCUUCUAAUAUACUACAUUAUUUACUUAUUUUGUUUGUUGUCUCUCUUCCCAUACUGAAGUGGAUUAUUCCAAGAGGGAGAGGGUUUUCAUCUGUCUUGUUCAUUCUUAUAUUCUCAGAGUGAAUAAUACAGCCUGGCACAUACUGGAUUCUAAGUAAAUAUUAUGUAAAUAAAUGUUCCAUUUUUACAACAUGCUACAACAAUUUUAUUCAAUAUUUAUGAAAGUAAAGUAAUAAACAUGCUGAAAAACAUGGAACAUUGGUAAAGUGGGAAAUUCCCUGCAAUGACAGAUACUUUUGGAACAUGUCUUUUUUUUAUUGUUUUUGAGAUGGAGUUUCGCUCUUGUUGCCCAGGCUGGAGUGCAAUGGUGUGAUCUCGGCUCACCACAACCUCCACCUCCCAGGUUCAAGCGAUUCUCCUACCUCAGCCUCCCGAGCAGCUGGGAUUACAGGCAUGCACCACCACACCUGGCUAAUUUUUGUACUUCUGGUAGAGAUGGGGUUUCUCCAUGUUGGUCAGGCUGGUCUCGAACUCCCGACUUCAGGUGAUCUGCCCACCUCCACCUCCCAAAGUGCUGGGAUCACAGGUGUGAGCCACCGCGCCUGGCCAAAACAUGUCUUUUAUAAAGGGGAUAAAAGAGAGAUACUAUUUUACUUACAAGAUAAAAGUUUCUUUACCUUUUUAUUGAUGCAUUUUAUUUGUUGCAAAAUUUUCAGAAAAUAUGCAAGGUAUGUAUUGGAUCAUAUGUUGAAGUCCUUGAGAAAAUACCUUAUUUAGUAUUUAGAAAGUAUAAGAUUAAAAUCUUGAUCAAGAGUACGCAUUACUUUGACACUAGCUAUUCUUAAUCGUAUUUAAUUCAAGGCACAUUGACAUAUUUUAAAUAUUUGGUAUAAUGGCUAAAAUAACAUUUCCUUUGCAUAGAAAAAUCUAAAAAAUAUAGACACUGUAAGGGUAAAAACUUCUUAUUUAGUUUUUUAAAUGUAGGUCUAUAGAUAUGUCACUGUAGUAACAAAGUAUUAGGAAAAGCUCUAUUUUGAAUUCAUAGAGUCUAAAUGCUAUUGAUUAAUAAUGAAUACUUAGAUUUUUUAAAUGUCUUUUAUAGACUCAUUGGGCUUUGUUUUCUUCAUCUGUUUGGUUUGGCUGCUCUCAUUUACAUACUUGCUCUCAUUAGGGUUUGAAUUUCAGAGCUGGCCUCACUCUGCGAUGAGAACAAAUGUCUUGCCAUGUGAUACUAACUUUCCAUUACAUGCUGAAGCAUUUGCAGUCCCAGAGGCAAAGAAUUUAUGGUUGGUACAUGAGAGAUAGAACCAUCACAUAAAAGAAGCCAAAUUUGCAAUCAUAUUUUUCCUUAGUGCUAAUAUAGUUUCGGGAUAAUGAGAACUCAGAAUAAUCAGCUAAUGACCAGAAAUGAAUCAUUAUUAAAACACUGUUUUUCUGGCAUAAAAUAGCUAAUGUUUCUAGUUGGUUGAUAAUUUUCUUAGCAACCAUGGUAUUUGGCACGUCCUAAACCACUUUUCACUAGAAGCCUUCAGACCCCACUGAAGCAGUUCAUUAUACUCUGAAACAGUUCUGAGAAUCAGGGAGAAUAAUAUACAAGUUUUGCUGAUAUUCUAUAGCUGUAUAGCCAGUAUCCUGUAGCAAAUACUUAAAAUUUCCUACAAGAUUUCUCAGUAAUUCUCCAGCCAAGUAGGAAAUUAAGUAGAUGCAGCAGAAGAGAUUAAAAAGUAUUGGAAGUCGAUCCCCAAGUUAGAGUUUGGUCAGAAUUUCAAGCUUGUUUUAUUGUUUUUUAAAAAGUAAAUAAACAAGUUGUUUUAUACUUUAAUAAUAGGGUCACCAUUAAUAUAACAUUUACAUGGCAUCAUAUUUCCAAGGGAUUCUGUAUAUGUCCCAGCUUCUUGUUAUUACUGACUAUGCUCUGUGAGAUUUUUUGGCGGCAUGUAUUACUUUGGUUUUGGCCAGAAAGUCAAAGGAAAAGAGUAUUGAGAAUAGCAGCCAAUAACUAUGAAAACUCAUCACAGAUUUAUUCAUAUAUCUGGUCAUACCCUGCACACAUAUAGCACUGUAUGGUUGUCAAACUCUUGGCAUGCAUGAUAUCAUUUGAUCUUUAUAACCCUAUAUCUGUGUGACCUUGAGCAAAUCACUCAGCCCAUGGCUGUGACUCCUGUUUGGAAGCUGGGUUUAAUAGAUACCCUCUCCUAAGUCUAUAGGAAUGCUUCAGAAUUAAUAAUAGAGUAGUUCAAUGCAUUGUGAACUUUGUAAAAGAAAGGUAUUAUUAUAAAUGCAAAAUUAUUUUAUUCACCUAGCUUGGGACACUAAAAUUUAGGGAGACUAAGUGAGUUGGCUCUAAGUGUUUAACCACAUUGGUCCCAGGAAACACACAGAACCAUGGAUUAAAAGGUUGAUGUUUUCUAGUUUAGAUAAGAAGCAUGAGAUUUUAUCAUAAAGGGCAAAAUACUGCUCAUAAGUAGAGAAUAUUGUUUUCUAAAGAAUAUAACCAAAUAUUCAUUCUGAACCAUGAACUCACUAAUUUAAUUUAAAUGUGUCAAACAGUAUGAUUUUAUUAGUUAUUGAUCAAUAUUCAGGCUACAUGUAACAAUGGAUGACAACCAGUUUUCUUGAAAAGAUAUCCAAUUUGGAGGCAAUUAAUCCCAGAAUUAUUAUGAAUUACAUAAACUGAGAAGAUAAAUUGGUAAUAUUUCUGAUCAAAAUAAUAUUUUCCAAAUACAUAUAUUUUCUGAGUAAUAUUGUAUAAACAAUAAAGUGGUCAACCUUGUCACUAAUGUUUCAUAUAGCUCACAUAUUAGAAUAAAACCUACUUAAGAACAUCAGAUAUUUGAUAAGAUGUGUCAGUUUCAAUUAAGCUAGGUUUUGCACCAGCCUAAUAAAUAAAGAACAAUAAUUCAGAAGCUAGGAAAUGUAAUUUCAUUGAAAGAUGGAAAGGAAUAAGUAUCUAGCAUGAGCCAGGCAGUGUGGUAAAUACAUUUUAAAUGUGACUUUAUUUAAUCUCUACAACAGCUCUGUAGGAUAAACAUUAUUAUCUCUAAUUUAGAGAUAAAGAAAUCGAACCUUCAAGAGAUUGAGGGCUUCCUCAAGAGUUUGUAAAUCAGAGCCAUAGUUGACCUGGAUCUGAGUGAUACCCAGGUAUAUGUUCUCUCCAUUACUCCAUUUUAUAAUUUAGGAACCACCAGAUCAGAUGUUCCCAAAUUUGUGAAGAGGAACUACAUUCUGGUUUUUUGUUUUGUUUUGAAACCUCAUAUUGGUGGAGGGAGGGGCCAGGAGAAAGAGGUUGAACCUGAUGUGGAUGAAUGUGAGGAUAAGGGCCCCUGAUAGUGAGGGGCUACAGGCAUGCGCCAGCAGGGCCGGCUAAUUAUUUUUUUUAAAGCUCUUGUAGAGAUGCAGUUCCUCACUUUGUUGUCCCAGGUUGGUCUCAAACUCCUGGGUUCAAGCAAUCCUCCUGCCUUGGCUGCCCAAAAUGCUGGGAUUACAGGUGUGAGGUUCUUCACAGGGGAAUGAAGUGAGCAGAAAGUAGCUGCUUGCCAAGUGAAAGAAGCAAUGGACCAAUAUAGGCUUUGAGGUGCACUUGUAAGCUGGUGUGUUGGGAACUGCCGACGUGGUUAGAUGAUGCUCUCUGAUGGUCUUUCUGUUAUAUUAAGGAGUAGAGAUUUUUAAAUAUUAGAUAAUUUUAUGUUUCUAUUGCUAAAUUGGGGUUGAGGGGGAUGUUGGUCUGUCAUUCUAUUUCACUUCAAAUGAAGAUGCAUUUUUAUCUGGAACGUAUGUGGAACUGUCUUGGAAUUUGACUCUGCCGGGUCAGAUUAUGUCCACACAGCAUACAAGCAAAUUCCCAGGAUACCAGGUUGCUGUUUGAGGUUGGCUGCUGCUAAUUCCUCUCCUAGAGAAGAGGACACUCUAGUUCUAGCCCCAGCUCUGCAACUGGCAGAUCACCUCAGCUCUCUGGGCCUCUGUUCUUCCUCCUCUGAAAAAUAAGGAGGCUGAACUAGACAAUUCCUAGGCCUCACUUUCAGUCCUUCUGUUCUGCAGUUCCAUGAGAAACAGAAAGCACAGCUUAUCCUUUAAGCCCUCUAAAAGGCAAAAAAAAAAAAAAACUAAAACAAUUAUCUUCCAUGGUAAAACUGUCUGCUAUAUACAUUUUAAUGUUCCAAAGGAUUAAAGUCCAUCAAUCUUGUAGACUUGUUGGGAAACAAGUCGGUUGGCAUUUUCAUAGACUUUUUAUUUCACCGUGUUUUAGCAUUAUUAGAAAAUUUUUCUGUAGAGGAAAAUUUUGCUAGGAGUUAAUUCAAUUUUUUUUUACAUCUGAUUUUGAAAUUUAAAGUAAAUCACUUGUUUUGAGUAUCUUAUGUAGACGCUUUUUAAGCCACAAAUAAUUUUGUCAAACUUCGCAAAAGUACACUCUGCCCUCAGAAGUUAUUUUAGGUACAAAUUACUUGUUAUGUUAAAUUGAAUAGAUGAAAAUUUAAAUGCUGUAAUAUUUAAGUUAUUCCAACAUAUACACUUUGAUGAUGAAUACAUGCUAACUGGAAACAUUUUACUGUAGUCUUACUUUAUGCUUUUCUACUAAUAAUGUUCAUAAAUUCAUGAAUGGGUGGAUAAUCUUGGCAAGAAAAUGAAAAGGCUUUUAAUUGUGUAAAAAUAUGGAUUUGUCUUCUUCUGGAGUUGUUGCUUGCUCAGCAGACACGUGUUGAGUCCUGCUAACUUGACAAGCACUGCACCACUUGCUGAGAUUACAAAGAUAAGUAAGAUAUGCUCUGUGGCUCUGGAAAAUCAAAAGCUAGUAGAAGAUGCCUGUAGUUCAUCUGGAAAAAGAGAGCUUAUAAAGUUUUUUCUACAAUAUGACCUCAUUUGAACAUAUGGGGUGCAGUUAUUAUUUUCCUUAUUUUACACAGGAAACUGAGUCUCAUGGAGGUUAAGUUAUAAUGCUCAACUUGUUAUUACUUGCCCAGUAUCUGUUGUCCCUUAAACAAGGACUGGGACCAUGUCUAUCUUUUUCAUUCUGUAGUUCCAGUACCUAGCACAGUACCUGGCACAUAAUAGGUGUUCCAUUUGAGCACCUAUUUGAUGGAUUAAUAAAUCCAUCAAACAUAUUUGAUGGAUAAUAUCUCCAACAAAUAUUGGAUCAUAGGAAAGCAUUACUAGCAUUAGUCUUCUUACUCUUGAAGUAAGUACUCUUUCACUAUGCCUUGCUGCCUCUGUAAUUAUAAACCUGUUUAGUAUUAACAGGAUGAAUGCUUGUGGUAUGGAAAAAGAGCUAUAUAUGCUGCCUAAUUUUUUAAAUAAGGAAAGAGAUUGCCUUUGAAAGGUAGAGGCUGAACACCCUUGGAAAAACAAUAGGAUAAAUCCCCCAGAACUCAGACAUCUUGAUACUCAACCACAAAACAUUCUUUUCUUUAUGAAGAAAUAAUUUGGUCAUAUGUGUCAAGCUUUCUCAUUAUUUAGUGGUUUGGAAUCAUUUUAAAUUGGCCAUUAGAAGUAAUGGCAGCAGGUUUGAGGGUCUAGAAGUAUUAUAUAUUGUGUACUUUAUCAGUAAUUUUUAUGAUAUUUAUGAAGCUCAGUAUGGCUGAUGUUAAGAGACAGGGUUAUUAGCACUUCAGAACAUAAGAAUGGAAUUUAAAAUGACCUUAGAAAAAUUGAGAGGUGUUGAUCCUAAAUAGGAACACAUGUGGGGAGAAAAGACAAAUGCACUGUAACUGCAGUAUGCAACUGUGUCAGGGAGGAAUUUAGAAGACCAAAUUCAGAAUCACAAAGUAUUAAUAAUUCUUGUAUUACAUUCUUCAGACUAUUACUGGAAUACUAUGGUCAGUCUCAGUCCCACCAGUUUAAGAGAUUUGUAACAAAUUGUAUGAGAUUUAGAGAAUAUAGAAAAUAAUUAAAGGUUAGAAAUUUAGGAAUGUGAAAACAUAGAAAAUAAGUUGAAUUUUAGUCAUGUAAGGUCUCAAAAUAU